This is a small RNA of Hylemonella gracilis ATCC 19624, 85 nucleotides long. It matches the Rfam family "Burkholderia RNA 7 (anti-hemB)". Rfam says of the family: This RNA motif was identified by computational search in b-proteobacteria Burkholderia. Co-purified with Hfq, expression confirmed by Northern blot. Putative functional homologue of SP-RydB and predicted target hemB. The record is from Rfam. Lineage: Bacteria; Pseudomonadati; Pseudomonadota; Betaproteobacteria; Burkholderiales; Comamonadaceae.
UCCCCGCUUUUCCUCCCUGAGCGGGGCCUUGAUGUGUGACAGCAAAAAAGGCUUGCAACCCCGGCUUGUGCCGGGGUUUUUUUUU